RNAcentral lists this ribosomal RNA (70 nucleotides) under Staphylococcus aureus. RNAcentral describes it as "partial 16S ribosomal RNA". It matches the Rfam family "Bacterial small subunit ribosomal RNA", at positions 1464 to 1533 of the family's 1533-position model. Lineage: Bacteria; Bacillati; Bacillota; Bacilli; Caryophanales; Staphylococcaceae. RNAcentral also lists the same sequence under 12 other names. The record is from RNAcentral.
GGGACAAAUGAUUGGGGUGAAGUCGUAACAAGGUAGCCGUAUCGGAAGGUGCGGCUGGAUCACCUCCUUU